RNAcentral lists this non-coding RNA (111 nucleotides) under Herbaspirillum seropedicae. RNAcentral's name for it is "TPP sequence". It matches the Rfam family "TPP riboswitch aptamer (THI element)". Rfam says of the family: Vitamin B(1) in its active form thiamin pyrophosphate (TPP) is an essential coenzyme that is synthesised by coupling of pyrimidine and thiazole moieties in bacteria. The previously detected thiamin-regulatory element, thi box was extended, resulting in a new, highly conserved RNA secondary structure, the THI element, which is widely distributed in eubacteria and also occurs in some archaea. Lineage: Bacteria; Pseudomonadati; Pseudomonadota; Betaproteobacteria; Burkholderiales; Oxalobacteraceae. The record is from RNAcentral. RNAcentral also lists the same sequence under 1 other name.
UCGCACCGCUAGGGGUCCUGGCGCUCAAGCUCAUGCUUGGGUAGCCGGGUGAGAAAUACCCUUGAACCUGAUCUGGAUAAUGCCAGCGAAGGGAAGCAACCGGCAGCUUGA